Non-coding RNA from Peromyscus maniculatus bairdii (prairie deer mouse), 6143 nucleotides. The record is from RefSeq and is a predicted model, not a curated record. Lineage: Eukaryota; Metazoa; Chordata; Mammalia; Rodentia; Cricetidae.
AGAGUCGUGUAGACUUUCCCUGUGGUGCCAUUCUUCGAGGAGGGAAACUCCUGCCACUUGGGCAGUGCAUCUCCAAAUUGUCUUCAGGAUGGCCAGAUGCUGAACUCACCUUGACUCUAGCCAGAUGGGAAGACACAUAGGUCCCAGGUCCUUGGUGGAAGCAAAGAACAUGACCUCUUAGUGCUUCAGAAAUGCAAUGGGCAUGAUGACGUGUCUACAGUCAGCAUUUGGAAAGCUGGAGCAGGAGGGUUGGGAGUUGUAGGCCAUCCUAGGUAAGUUAAUGAGACCAUCUCAAAACAAAACAAUACAGCAUGAGGAAUAUGAAAAAGUCAUCGUUUGGGUUAUGAUGUCAAAGGGCUUUUCCCUCAAAGACUGUGGACCAGACUUCAGAUGGCAGGAGUUGGCAGGUUUUCUUCUCAGUCCUGAGCAACUUUGGGACUUGCAUAUCAUGAGUAGGGCAGAGAAAAACUGGAAGAGAGUUCAGAGAAGGACUGUCAGUAUGCCUAAAGUGGUGGGAAAUAAAAACCAUAAUGCAGAAAAAUAUCUGAAGUAAAGUAGAUCAUUUAACUAUGACAGGAAGUUGGGGGGGGGGAAAUCUCUUGCUUGGAGAUUUUAGCUACUGAGGCAAAGGGCCAAACUUAAUACGUAAAUUUGAAAAAUGAGGAAACCGUAGUUAAGAUUACAAAAUCAAGUGGCUGGUGAGUGACCAGACCAAUGAUUAGGAUAGGAAAAUCCAGAAACUACGAAGAACCUAGUUCUACACGGGCACUUUAGUCUGCAGGGUGCUGUGAAGCUGAAAGGCUUAAGCGGACAGCGUAGCGUGUGUGAGGAGUGGUUCCCAGUCUGGAUCUCAUUAGAGCAGGAAAUGUGCAUUGCUGGUCGUGGUCCGACCUUAGGAAUGAGGCCACUUUCCCACUGUCAAAUUGCAUACUGUGUUCUAAAACUGGAUCAUACAUGAAAUGUUGGGGCAGGAAGGAGCCUAGACCGUGAGUGGGCAGAUGAUCAGAGGCCAGAGAAGGGUGGAAGGCUCUGCUCUGGGCUCCAGGCCUCUAGGCUGGAAGCUUCCCUUCAGGGAGCGAAGGAGGGUGUGCUGGUGGGGGACAGAACCUCAAGUGUGACUCUCAGGUUUCUGGAGCUCUGACACCUUACCAUACCAGCUUUAGAUGGUCACUUCAGUAGGAGACCACAGAGCAAAGCAAACUGGAACAAGGUACUUGCCUCCAAGACCAUAUAGAUGUGGCACCCCCGGGGGUAAUGAGCCUGCUUCGUGGUGACAUGACAGACACUGUGUGGAGUGCUAGCUCCUGUGGUGUAUACCCUGAAUCUGCUCUACGACAUGAAGGUGGUAUGACCUUCACCUUCAGGAGUUGGUUCAUGCAAAUAGGGGUCUUGGAAUUUCACAGCCUUACACCCAGGAUCCAGAGUCCUCCUGACCUAACAACGUUCUGCAGCUCCAAAGGCUGCCUUUCCUGGACUCAUGGUUGGAAACGUGUUUCUGACAUUUAUAGCAACCACCACUGUGCAUGACACUGAAUUUCCAUGAAGUUAUAUACUGUAUAGCAGCUGAUGCUGUCUAGGGUGUAGGAAAGGUUCAUUUUUUCUGCUGAUUAAAGAAUUAGAAGGCAGGAGAGUUUGAAAGUCAAAAAUCAAGGUUGACUCAAAGUGAAAGGACCUGGAGUACCCUCUUGGGGUUCUUUGUCUCCUUAAUGAGAGUUUUAUUAAAAAUGGAUCAAAUGGAAGCUUGAGGACAGUUUUACAAGUUUAAAAAAGAAAACUCCCAGAGCAGGCAAGCUGUAAAUCUCAGUGGUUGCCUCCAGGAGAAAGAGAAGGAAGAAAGCCCUGCCACACUGCAGCAGACAGCCACAUGGUGGGGAGAGAGCUUUAGAGAAAAAGCAUGGAAUCCCGAAGUACUGGAGAAAACGUACUUCGCUUCUUGCCAGUCUUUUAACGGAGACAGAAAAAUGGGGAAGUUGUACCUUUUGAUGUAAGAACGCAGCUAAGCCGCAAGGCAGCUUAGAGGGACUGUGCUAGGGGGCUGGGAUUCUGGGAAGUAAAAGUAUCUCAUGAAAGGUAUUUAUUUCCCUUAUCUCUUAAGCUUGGCUUAAGGUGAGUCUGCCUUCUUGUGGGUGCUCCACCUUCCUGGUGUGCUCCCAGGUGGUAGACCCGCUGGACUGUGUUCACUCUGACGUGUUGGGUAACUUAGAUGUUAGGCCUCUGCCCAGGCCAGAGAUUUUUAUCCUCUUGACCAGAAGAAACAGUGGGACUUGACUGCUGCUGUGUUAGAACCAGUUUUAGCUGGUCUGUCCUCAUCUCCUCCUUGUACAUCAAGGAACUCUUACUUUGGGUGUAAAAAGACUCCCAGUUCUUGCAUGUUGUUUCAGUGUGUGUAUUUGGUUGACGUUUGUUUAGGCAGAAGUGGAUGUCUAGUCUUGCUGGUAAAGGGCACUUGGAGCUACAUGACCUUACUGAAAGGAGGUACUAUCUGACAACAUUCACUAAAUCCAUCCAUGUGUAUCCGGCAGCUAUCAAAGUGCAUCUCUCCUCCACACAGGUUUUGAGAGAUUCUGGUUGAUUGAUUGCAAAUGAAGGAGAAAAAAUUAUCAGUGGACUGGAGAGAGAGCUUAGCGGUUCAGAGGGCUUACCCUGAAAUCAUGAGGAUAAGAGUUCGGGUCCCCAGCAUCCACUUAACGAGCGAUGGGGGUCAAAGACAAGAUUGAUGGGUCUUGAUGGCUUCCAACUUGGGCAACAGAAUUUGAGCCCCAGGUUCAUAAAGUGACCCCCUUUGUUUGCAAGGAAGCAAGACAGUGAUUUCAGACUCUGUAUUGUGUACACAACUCACUAAAGUAUACAUACUCAAAGACGGGUACUAAAUAAAAACCUUAAAAAUUUAUUACUAAAAUUUUUGAAGGCACUAGUUACAAUUCUGGAACCACUUGUACUUGGCCGAGAAUUUGUUUUCUUUGAUGGAGGUGCUUUUCCCAGCAGGGAGCCACAUCAGUUAGCAGAGCUAACAACAGACCUUCCAUCUUGCGAGGGGGAAAAAAAAAUGAAGUUUCAAGUCUCUGUCUUCUCGUUAUUUUCCCUUUUGAGAUCAGUCAGUAAACUAUGCAAUUAGUUGUGUUUCCUGACUUCUAAGUGUAGUUUGGGUUGUUUGGGUUCCGGGCCCCUUUCUUUCCUGCUUAGCUUUGGGGUGUUAAUUUUAGUGGCCAGCCUUUGAAUGAGCAGGCACCCGGGCUGGCUUUCUUGCGUUUUUUUCUUCAGAUUUCUACUACAUCCUGUUUCAUGUGCGGUUAGAUCAUCUGAUGAGUCACCUGAUGUUUUGCUACUUGGAAUGACAGAAAUAGAGGCUCCGAGUAACCACACAGAGAAGCAUCUCUGGUGGUUUCCAGAUACACUGCUCAAAACUAUGCUUUCUGAUGCUUCAGAUGCUUUCUAUAAAAGAGCCCUGUGUAGGGGCUGUGUGGCAGUGCGGACAGAAAUCACCCGGUUUGCACAGUCUGGGGAGAAUGUGGUGAAGCUAGAAGAGAGUUCUUUUCCCUCUGCCCAUUUCAGAAGAAAAUAUCCCCAAACAGAACAGGUAGGAGGGUGGGAGAGCUGGGAGCUAGGAGUGUAGCUCAGUGGAGGGUGUGUCGGACUAACCCUGAGAUUUAUCUCCAGAGCAGGCAUACACACACCCACACUCAGGCCUGCGCUAAGGGAGCGGUUUAAUUCCUUCUUUAAAGAUAAAGAUGGAGUAACCGUUCCCAUGAUUGAGGUGUGUAAUUGUCUCAAUCUUGCCAGGGGCAGAAGGGGGCUGCAUUGCAGGGAUGCAAUGCCCAGAGUCCUUGAAAGUUGAUGUGCUGAAACUACUGCAGGCCAAGUUCACUCCGCCUCCUAACGCAGCUUAAACCAAUAGUAAGUGUUUUCAUUUCUGAGGCCCUCCACGGACAUCGCCAAGGAAAGCCAUCAGCGAAUGCCAAAAAACAGAAGGCCUCAAAUGAGAGAGGAGUACCUGUGGUGUGAGAGAAGCCCACCAGGGCAGUAGGGGGUGACUGACCAGCUGUUACCCACACAUGCAAACAAGUGGCCUUUCCAAUGAAAGAGUCCUCGGUGGCAAGUUUCCUGCCAGCUGCAAGCCUCAACACUCCCUGGCCUGCAGUGGCAGGCUUGUCCUGCCGUGAGUCACAGCAAUCCUGUUUACUCAGUUCCCGGGUGCCUUAGAGAUGCCUUGUGUGCCAGGACCCAGUAAACAAGGGCAGAGCAAAUGGCAGGUGUGCACUUAGAGUGACCCCCUGUCACCCCUCAGGAAAACAGUCCUCCCUGCUUCCUUCCAGAGAACCCUCACUCUAGAAAGGCUGACUUCGCAGUAUUCAGAUGGAAACCUGCCUCAGGCCCUUGCAACUUUAGGUUGUAAUUGUCUACAGUUGCUUAACCUUGAGAAAGCCAGACCUGGUCUUCCCGCAGUCCUCGACAAGGGGAUUUCACAGGCAUGGUCCUUUUCUGUUUCUCGGCUGAGCAAAGUGUUUGAAAUAACACUAGGCUGGUGAAGUAGGCUGCUCUAAUGCCUUUGGGAAGCAGAGAGUGACCCCUUCCCCAUUCCAGACCCCAGGUCCAGACUAUGGAAUUCUUGGUUUGACCACAACGGCAUGGCAGCUUGGAAUGUCAGGAGACACACAGGCCAGGAGAAGGUAAUGCGUGAAGAAGCCUGCCCUCACCAGAAGAUGAAGGUCUGAACAAAUCCGGCAGAAUUGCAGCUCCAUUGCAGAGGCCUGGGCUGGCACUACAUCCUGGGUUUUCAGGGACCUUUUCCACCUUGAUCAAGUGAGGUGGCUUUGGACUUAAAGCCACAUGUUCGAACUGCACAAUGGAGAGCCACUAGCUGCUCUUUCUUAAAUUUAGAGGGAAAGGAUUUUGCUUUUGCAGUCUGAUACUUAAGCUCCAACCCCAGAAGCAUGAACAUAGCCACACGUGUUAAAAAAUACUGCUGUUUAAUUGUCUAGUCAUGUACUUUAAAAAGCCAAUACAAUUAAGACUUUGAAGUUACCUUUUCAGAUCUGCCCCUGAAAUCACCAACAAGCACUACGGGAGCACAAAGGACUUGUUCCCACGGUGGGCACGGAGGAAGGACAUUGGGUAUCCAGAAAUGGGAAUGCAAGCCGGUGUAGCUGACAGCCAACCCUUGCCCUUCCAGUCUUAACAUGAGGAUUACACAACACUGAAAAAAUAAACACAAGAGAUCUGCCUUCUCUUUCCAUUUUCCUUUGCCCUUCCAACCUUUACUUGUCUGCUCAAGGGGCUUAUUUUCUCUGUAGGUUGCCCAUCAUGAAAAAGUGUUUCCUUGGCAUCUACAGGCCCAUCCAUUCAUAGACAAAGGGCUUUGUAAGAUGGUUGUGACAUACAACGGUCACUGGUACAACAUACAACAUGAGUGAGCUGCAGGUAUGUGGAGCACGUAGGCAAUCACUGAAUUGUAUUAGAGACAUUUUAUUGAAAAUGCGAAAAUAGGAAAUGUAUUAUAGCCUAAAAUAAAUUACAUAACAUAUACAGCAUAUAUUUAUAUCUUUAAAAUAUUUGUUUUGUUUAGGUUCUUUCAGUCUAGUUAUUUUGACUAAAUCAGGAAUUUAGUGAACUGUAUCCAUAAUUUUUUUUUUUAAAGGAAAAAACCCGCUUUCCAAAACUUAGAAAAAUAUACUGCACUAAAUGGAUUUCCAAUGCACUAUUUCAGGGGUAUCACAUAGUGACUUUGAUACUUGUUUAUAAAAUGUCUUGCUUUAUGGUGUGGAGGGGAGUACCAUAGCACACUCAGUUGCCUGUCCUGCUGGGCCGUGACUACAAACGGCAGGAACAGGCAACGCAUCUACAUCAGAAGUUACGAGACAGGAACCUGGCAUUAGACUGCUAGAUUACGACUUAAAGCUCUGCUCACUGUAAAGAACGAAAUGGACAGUUAGAAUGCUCCACUUCUCUUGAUCUAGUGCCAUCUUCAGGGAAGGCGAGUGAAAAGCAAGCCUUCGGGGAAAGUCAUGCGGAAGGACGCUGACACUUGGAGGGGCACUUCCGUGACACCCCUGGAAAGUCAGCUCAUGUAUAUACACUGUGGGGAGUGGGGGGUGGGGUGGGCGGCAACUCAGGGAAACCAGGAAAACAACGCGAGAUGCUGAUGA